CCUACGGGGGGCAGCAGUGGGGAAUAUUGGGCAAUGGGCGCAAGCCUGACCCAGCAACGCCGCGUGAAGGAAGAAGGCUUUCGGGUUGUAAACUUCUUUUCUCAGGGACGAAGAAAGUGACGGUACCUGAGGAAUAAGCCACGGCUAACUACGUGCCAGCAGCCGCGGUAAUACGUAGGUGGCAAGCGUUAUCCGGAUUUACUGGGUGUAAAGGGCGUGUAGGCGGGGAAGCAAGUCAGAUGUGAAAACCACGGGCUCAACCUGUGGCCUGCAUUUGAAACUGUUUUUCUUGAGUGCUGGAGAGGCAAUCGGAAUUCCGUGUGUAGCGGUGAAAUGCGUAGAUAUACGGAGGAACACCAGUGGCGAAGGCGGAUUGCUGGACAGUAACUGACGCUGAGGCGCGAAAGCGUGGGGAGCAAACAGGAUUAGAUACCCUUGUAGUC
This 443-nucleotide ribosomal RNA is filed under the name uncultured bacterium. Its description in RNAcentral is "partial 16S ribosomal RNA". It matches the Rfam family "Bacterial small subunit ribosomal RNA", at positions 338 to 795 of the family's 1533-position model. The record is from RNAcentral.